UCCUGCGGUAGGAGUGGGCCAGCCUGCGUUAUGGGCAAAUCAGGCUUGCAAGUAUUAUGGCCAAACCUGUCUGCCCUUGGAAUCUUGCCCCCGGAAGCUGAGGCUGCCGCUAACGGGCUGCGACUUCAAUACUGUCUGCUGCAACAUCAAGAAAACCAAAAGCUGCUCCAAGGUUGGCGGAGAAUGUCGCUGGAAGUGCAAACGAUAUGGAAUUCCUUAUCACUACGCCAAAUGCCUGCAGGGAAUUCUUAAGUGCUGUAUAUACGUGCAAAAGAAGAAGGCUUAAAGCCAUUGGCACCAUGCAUUUCUUAGUGGGCUUUGGCGUGGGGAGUUUUCAUUGGCACGCGCCAUGCAUUUCUUAGUGGGCUUUGACAUGGAGAGUUUUCAACUACUAUUCGUAGGCAGCAAUAAAAAAUUCACCGA
This is a long non-coding RNA of Rhipicephalus sanguineus (brown dog tick), 423 nucleotides long. RefSeq lists it as uncharacterized. The transcript has 3 exons. The record is from RefSeq and is a predicted model, not a curated record. Lineage: Eukaryota; Metazoa; Arthropoda; Arachnida; Ixodida; Ixodidae.